UGGAAGUAAAAGUCGUAACAAGGUUUCCGUAGGUGAACCUGCGGAAGGAUCAUUAAAGAGUAAGGGUGCUCAGCGCCCGACCUCCAACCCUUUGUUGUUAAAACUACCUUGUUGCCUUGGCGGGACCGCUCGGUCUCGAGCCGCUGGGGAUUCGUCCCAGGCGAGCGCCCGCCAGAGUUAAACCAAACUCUUGUUAUUAAACCGGUCGUCUGAGUUAAAAUUUUGAAUAAAUCAAAACUUCCAACAACGGAUCUCUUGGUUCUCGCAUCGAUGAAGAACGCAGCGAAAUGCGAUAAGUAAUGUGAAUUGCAGAAUUCAGUGAAUCAUCGAAUCUUUGAACGCACAUUGCGCCCCUUGGUAUUCCGAGGGGCAUGCCUGUUCGAGCGUCAUUACACCACUCAAGCUAUGCUUGGUAUUGGGUGCCGUCCUUAGUUGGGCGCGCCUUAAAGACCUCGGCGAGGCCUCACCGGCUUUAGGCGUAGCAGAAUUUAUUCGAACGUCUGUCAAAGGAGAGGACUUCUGCCGACUGAAACCUUUUAUUUUUCUAGGUUGACCUCGGAUCAGGUAGGGAUACCCGCUGAACUUAAGCAUAUCAAUAAGCGGAGGA
Molecule: ribosomal RNA, 607 nt
Filed under: uncultured fungus
Lineage: Eukaryota; Fungi
Description: eukaryotic LSU rRNA
Rfam family: 5.8S ribosomal RNA (bases 236-389)
Source: RNAcentral